Non-coding RNA from Vanrija pseudolonga, 74 nucleotides. The record is from the annotation of a RefSeq genome assembly. NCBI's taxonomy places the organism in Eukaryota, Fungi, Basidiomycota, Tremellomycetes, Trichosporonales, Trichosporonaceae.
GGCCACUUAGCUCAGCUGGUUAGAGCGCAUGCUUAACACGCAUGAGGUCGGCGGUUCGAUCCCGCCAGAGGUCA